RNAcentral lists this long non-coding RNA (39620 nucleotides) under Eucalyptus grandis. RNAcentral's name for it is "long non-coding RNA (EGRA_LNC003344)". Lineage: Eukaryota; Viridiplantae; Streptophyta; Magnoliopsida; Myrtales; Myrtaceae. The record is from RNAcentral.
UAAGCUAGUGAGACUUAUGGCUUUUAGUUAUACCUUUGUUGGGAUUUUUUUUCUUUUCAUAGUCAUGCUGCUAAACCCAUGUAAUCCAACUUAAUUAUUUAGAUUUAACAGCAUACCUCUAAAAUCUGAUUUGAAGGACAAUUGCAUCCUGGUUUUUGUCCGUUCAAUGUCUCCACUUAAAAAAUGCACCGUGAAACUCCUUUUGCAUCUGCCUAGUUGGUUUAUCCAUAAACAAGUGGUAGGUUAGGGCUGAGGCUCAUGGAUUUCUUACGUAUGUCUUUGAGGCAACAUUAAUAUCGGAAAGAUAUUGGGUCCUUUCCUACAUCGAACAUCCCCUUUGUUUCACGCCUUUUCUCUGAGGCUAUUGAAUUGCAUUUGGUUCUUUAGGUCAUGCAUCUUUCAUUACAAUGUUUGAACCUUGAUCAAUCUUUUCUUAGCAAUCAGCAUCGAUAAUUUAUUCUUUCAUAACGGCAUUCAACAUUCCUAUGCAUUUCAGUGGAAGGUGGUUGUUUUCUAGUUUUCUUCUUUAUACUUUCCCCUUAGUGAGAUCAAAUUAUUUAGGCUGUUUGUUUCCACUUUCUUUAAGCAAAAAGUUGUUUAUCAACUUUCCUGCCGAUAGGAAAGAAAUUUUGGUUAGAUUUGAAAAUUUGACACAAACUUUGAUGGUCGCAAGUGACUCUAUAGAUUGGCUUUAAUAUAUUUUUUAAGGAUAGGUAGUGCUGUCUGAAAUAAAUGUGAAAUCUCAAAUGCUAGAAAGCAUAAAGUCUUAAAAGUAAAUGUUACUAUUCAGGCCGAGAUUGAGAAAGUGAAGAAGAGAAGGGAAGAGACAGCCCGUGAAAAGGCUCGGCAUGAGGAGUUAAUGGUAUGUUUGGUGCAGUCAGCGAAGCAUGUUUUUUUUUUGGUUGAAUUAGUGAUGGGUGUGAAACUCUACAGGUUUUACUGGUACAGAGAGAUUAUUUCUAUAUUUCUGCUUUCUGCAGGCAAUGCUAGCCGAAAGGUGUGCUCAAGCAGAGAUUCAAGGUUGAGAGAAGAAAGAAGAGGAGGUAUGGUUACCGGUUGUUCUGUAUUUCAAGUUCCCCAUCUCAUGCGAACUAGUCUUCAGAGGCAUCAUUUUGACAAUUGUUUUUCUCAAUAUGGUGAGUCUUUCGCACAUUUUCUCUUGCAGUUUCUUUUUUGCUCAAAGCAAAGUCAGGUCAGAGAUCAGAUUGCCUGAAGGGCGUGCACAAGCAGCUGAUGUUCAAUCUAACCUCAAUGGUUCAAAUGAUCUGGAUAUUAAAUUAAAUGAACCUCACGUGGUCUUUGAGGUGUCUAUUUUAUUCUAAUAUUAAACUGCCUAUUCUGACAGACAUUGUGGUACUUUGCUUUCCUACUUGUGUUUUCUUUUCUUUGAAAAGCUAAAUGAUCUGUUAUCUAUGCAAGUUCUAUGUAAAUUUAUGAAAAGAGGGUACGCUAAUCAGAAAAGGAGAGUCUCUCUUUUUUUAAUACAAGCUCAACUUCUGUAAAGCGUAUAACUGGUUCAUGCAUCUAAUUGCUUGGUUCUUAAAAGAUAGAACUUUCCCCACCCUCGAAACAAGUCUAGAAAUUGGAGGAGGAAUGGGACAUAACAGGUUUCUCUCCUUUUUGUCAUUGAUAAAGCAAAUGCUGUUCAAAGCCCCGAGCUACUUGUUGACGUACAGAGCUUAUGCCUCCUGCAUUCAAAAAAUUGCAGCUGUGGAUCGAGGUGUCGACUCAACAAAGAGCAAUAAUUUGAUCCCUGAUUUACUAGUUCACUUGCUCUUUUAUAUAAGUUAAAUAUCUUUUACCUUGACCUUGUCGACAAGACUAAGGACACUACGCAUGACCUUNNNNNNNNNNNNNNNNNNNNNNNNNNNNNNNNNNNNNNNNNNNNNNNNNNNNNNNNNNNNNNNNNNNNNNNNNNNNNNNNNNNNNNNNNNNNNNNNNNNNNNNNNNNNNNNNNNNNNNNNNNNNNNNNNNNNNNNNNNNNNNNNNNNNNNNNNNNNNNNNNNNNNNNNNNNNNNNNNNNNNNNNNNNNNNNNNNNNNNNNNNNNNNNNNNNNNNNNNNNNNNNNNNNNNNNNNNNNNNNNNNNNNNNNNNNNNNNNNNNNNNNNNNNNNNNNNNNNNNNNNNNNNNNNNNNNNNNNNNNNNNNNNNNNNNNNNNNNNNNNNNNNNNNNNNNNNNNNNNNNNNNNNNNNNNNNNNNNNNNNNNNNNNNNNNNNNNNNNNNNNNNNNNNNNNNNNNNNNNNNNNNNNNNNNNNNNNNNNNNNNNNNNNNNNNNNNNNNNNNNNNNNNNNNNNNNNNNNNNNNNNNNNNNNNNNNNNNNNNNNNNNNNNNNNNNNNNNNNNNNNNNNNNNNNNNNNNNNNNNNNNNNNNNNNNNUCUUCUGAUGUCGAGGAGGGUCCAGGUGAGGGUGCUCCAUCUUCGAUGGAUAAAGAAGAUUUCCGGAUAUUUAACAACUUAAAGGUUACAAAUCCAAAUGCACUUUUGAAGAAAAUGAAAAAAAAAAAAAAGAAGGGGGGGGGGUUGUGUUUGCAUGUUUAUUUCAACUUAAAAUGUCAUCGAUACAGUCGACGAGAUUUUUCUUUUUCUAUGGAAACCAGAGGUGAACACUCACGACUUGUUUAGAAUCUUUUCUGACACUGGGAAUUGCCAAUGGGAUGUGGAUUCCAACUUCUAAGCUUGAACUGGUUGUGUGAUGACCGCUGGGAGAUCGAAUUUUGCAUUAUGGCAUGUUCAUUUAACGGUGGUAAUGCUCGUUGAACAACCAUUUCACUUACUAGCUCCUAGUGGUAUGUUUUUUUCCUUAGCCAAGCUAUUUUAGAAUUGCGGAUUGGAAAUCGAUACAGCUUGUGUUUACUUGCGUUAAAUGUACAAUGUUAUUGAUAUUUUGCUUCCUAGGAAUACGCGAGGCAGCUGCCCUUUAGUUAUCCUUCAUCGAUUUGACAAUUAAACCGGCUAUUUUCAUGAAGCAAUGACAUGUAAACGUUGAUAUCCUACUUUCAUUAAUAGCCUGUCCCUAGAUCUUCUGGUACUCUUUUCAAGAUAAUUAAAGUGAGCUUGUUCCGGGUGAUUUGCCUUUACUGUGGCUUGAGGUGAUUGGCGAUGGUGUUGUGCGGUGGUGGCGGUGGUGGUCGUUGAUCACGUUGAUCAGAGUCACAGGUUGUUGGUAGCAAUGGCCUGAGUUAAUCCUGGGUUGCUUUAGUUUAGGUGUAUAUUUGUGUAAAGUUUUAGUAACCAGAUUGUUAAGCUUUAGUAAUUUGGUUAUUAGGCUUGAUAUGAGGUAAGUCCGGGAAUAAUGAGCAUGGGGAAGGAUAUUGUAGACGUCUUGAGAUGGAUAUUAGUAAACAUGGGCUUGUUUUGAUUAAAGCAUAAUGCAUUCAAUGUCAAUCUUUGCUCCCCUAUGUUCACAAUAUUAGUCUUGGAUCUGCCAAAAGGAUAACGCAAAACCUCAUCGACCGACACUUGACCUUUUUCUUUAUUCAGAGCGUGCAUCAUGAUGCUAAACGAAAAGCAAGUUGCAGUCUUAUUCACGUCUUCAAUGCAACCGUGAAGUCAAAAUUAAGUCCUGAUUCGGGAAACGACUUGACUACAUUUCUGCACCAAGGAUUCCUUACUGUUACCUCGAACGAUCAUAGCUCUUUUGAAAGCAUUACCUAUGGUGGAUUGAUUAGUAUCAUCAUCAUUCCAAUGCUUCAAAUCCUUCCGGCGAUUCAAACCUCAAUGAGAAGUAAGUUUUGGGAAUCUUGAAAUAAAUAUUGUUAAUAAUUGGUUGGGAGGAACCGAACCUUCAUCAUUUUCUUCGUCCGAUUUCAUGUUUGGAUGGGGUCUUUGCCUUGUCGGUUUGGGUCAGCUGCGUCUACGCCCACUAGGCUGAGGCGCCACCCUUUAGCUUGUAUGUUAGCAAUUUGACUCAGUCGUCAUUUUCAAUCUCCAUGGCAUCGAAGAAUUUCUCAACUUCCCGGAGCCAAUCCAAAAUGUCCUUUCGAUUGAUAUUGCUUGAGGUCUAGUCAACAUCCCCCGUUCUGAUGGCCUCCUUGAAUUAGCCCAUUUAGGAACUCGACAUAGGCUUGUUGCCUCUGUCGGAGUUUUGUCCCACAUUCCAUAAAGUACUUUCGAGACUCGAGCGGCCUGAGCACAUUUAGUCGAAAGAUUACUAGGUAUGGGUUGGUAAACAAACACUGGAUGACGACAAGUAAGUCCUAAAGCCUCCAUUCGGUUUGCUAUGCAAAUUGGUAGAACCCAGCCCAUGUAAUAGGCUCGUUUUCACGGCGCUCAAUUGCGGGGAGAUUAUCAUUGAUGUUAUUAGUCAUUGUCACAGAAGAAACCUACUCAGCUACCAUAUGAUGCAGAGGAAGAUAUGCUUGGAAAAAGGAUUUCAAAAGGUAGUGUUUAUUUUCAAUAAUGAAGUGUGGAUUGCAAUGUUUUAAGUGAGUAUUUGUAAGGAGGUCGCCCUUUAAGAAAUAAUUAUAAUUCAAAUAACGAAAUUAUGGAAAAAUAUUAGUAAAGGAGAAAGUCUACAAAACACGUCUUGAACAUCUGCAAAAUAUGUCCGAAAUCUUUGACGGUCCGGAAAUCAAGGAAGACGUGAAUUUGAGAUCAAAUAUUGCCUAAAUCGGUAUAGCCCGUUCGCAACUUCGAAGCUCCCACAAUCUUCUUUGAUUUGUGAGACUGUCUACUCCUAUGGUGCUCGAAGAUUUCUGUAUAAGCAUUUGCCUGUUGUUCCACGUCACUGCCUCAUUUCAAAGCUAUAUGAAAAAGUGUCCAUCAGCUAAAACAAUGCAUUCACUACUUCAGUGUAGCCUUUUGUUUACUUGACGUUGAUCACGAAUCGAACAAGUAGACUAGACACGUACUGCAAUUCGCCAUGCUUUAGGGCAACUGCUCGUUAGGUAUAAGAUUCGUUGAUCCUCCAACAUUUAAUCAAAGAAGCAGAAGCCAAUUUUUUAAACAACCAACUCUAAGCUGGUUGACAAUUUCAUGACGUCGAAUGCAUUCAACAUUUUUAACUUUCAAUUGUGAUCAAUACUGUUUUAUGAUAGUCGUCCCCGGUACAUUCAUACCAUCAUUGCAUUCUUUAUAACAUUUUCCAUUAGAUGUGCAGGUUGCGAUCUCGGAAUCAUAUUUUCACUCGCUAAAUUCAAAUACUCUAUCUCGUUUUCAAAACCUUGAGUGCAAAAUUUUAGGUAUACCCAAACCUUGAGUGCAAGAGCCUAGGUUGUCACGUCCCGAAAUCUCGAGCGUGCGAACAACUCUCAACGGUUGAUUAAGUUGUGACCUUUCAAGAAUCGUGGCCUACUCAUUUCUUUUCUUAAUCUUUUGAUUAAAUCUAAGUGGAAGUAUUUUUUAUUAAAGUAUAGUUUAGUUGUGGCAUGUGCAAUUCAAGAGGUCUCGGGUUUUUGAGUGAUUCUGAAAAUGGGUCUUAUUAACAAGAGUUCUGAGUAAGCUAAUUGAGAUAUUAAAAAUAGUAAAAACUCAUGUCGACAUAUUUCACGAGAAUUAUUGAAGUGAAGAGAGGUACGACGAAGCAAAGAAGAUGUUUAAGAGCAUGGUGAACCACGGGUGUCGGCCUAACGGUGAUUGUUAUUUCACCUUCAUUCACUAUCUUUGCAAGGGAGUGGAUUUCGACACCGCUUUGCAGAUUUGUAAGGAGAGUAUGGGGUUGGGUUCCGAAUUGCGGAACGACAAAGUCGCUAGUUAAUGGGCUGGUGAGUAUUGAUAAGGUCGAUGAGGCUAGGGAGCUUAUUAAGCAGGUGAAGGAGAGGUUUUCUAGAAAUACAGAUUUGUGGGAUGAAGUAGAAGCUGGUUUACCUCAGUAAUGAAGAUCAGAUGGUUUGCUGUUUUCAUUUGGUUUCAAUAAAAGCGCAGCUUGAUCUGAAAUGGGCAAACAUUGGUAUCAUGGAAGCCAGGUUUUACUUUUUUCAAAAUCGAUCAACUUCAGAGAUUCUCGAAUGAAAAGGCUGUCGGACAUCCUCUUAUCAUUCAUUAGGUUCUGGUUACUCUUGAUGUACGGACUAAAAGCGCAUGUGAGCUGAACCAACUUUGGGAAGAUGUCUUACCUCUCCCUUGGUGCAGGUUCAAGUACCAGCCUCCCUUUGAGCCACCUACCGUGAGUCUUAUGGUGCUACUCUCUGGUUGGUUAUUCACUGUUGUUUUUUUCGUGUUAGGGUAGCUGGGGAUUCCCAUAGGAAGUUUUUCCAGUGGAAUAGUGUGGUGUAUGUAGAGCAUCAAUCUGGAAGUUGACAUCACUGUUUGCUGUUUGUGUCAAAAUUGGAAAUGUGAUGGUUAUGGCUUCGAACCUUUUCAAUUCGUCCAUCCAUCCAGUUGAAGUCGCUUGGUCUUGAAGGAUAACCGAUGUUACCUAAGGCUUUUGUCUUGUUAGUGGCCAUACCAUAGCAUGUUGAUGAGGGAUUGUCAAAUCUUUUCAGUACCGCUUUGUUAAAUCAGAGAUUGGAUGACUGUUUUGCUGCUAGCAGAGGUGCCAAUGUAAUGUCCGUUCUUUGUUUGUUGCUUAUGUUAAUUGCUGGAGAUGCAGUAUGCUUUUCUUACUCUGAACUGUAAAUGCAUAUUAUCGAAACUACUUUUAGCCGAAAUAUACACCUUUAUCCUGAGAAGACACGAGCAUUGCUUCGAUGUACUCUGUGCUGGUGAGACGAUAUGAACUUUUGCCGCUCAAAGGCGAUUUAUGUGUUCGCAGUAUUGAGAAAAUCGAUUCAGUGUUUUGCAUCAGCAAAUGCCCUCAGCUAUACUUUCCACUCAUGCAAGGGAAAGAAGGAACUUUUUUUUCAUCAGGAGGAAAUCUGGGUGAAUUGAGGGUAAGUGCUUGGCAUAUAUCUGGGCAGAAGGAACAUGUAUCUCAAAUGUUCUCCAUAGAAAGGAGUCAAGCAACCAGAAGAAUUUCCAAUGAAUUGAACAGGAGAAAGAGAGUGCGAACGUCUGUGUUUAUGAACGCCGAUAGGCUUAAAAGAUUCCGAAAGAGAAUGACUUGGACAAUUGUCUUCCCUAAGACCUGUCAAAUUUGUCCUCAAGAAGAGUAUAAUUGAACCCGCGAUUCCCAUUUGUCCGAUAACUAUCUUUGACCUGUGCGACGGAGCAAAUGCUUGGGCGAGCUCAAAGCUCGCAUGGUGACGGUCAUAGGUAGCUCGAGCUUUGCCGGCCCCUCGGGUGAGCCACGAGCUCGCCAACUUGCUUUAUGGCCGGUCACUGGACUGCCGACCAUUGCUGAGGCAUGCAAAAAGAAAAAAGAAAAAAGAAAAGAAAUAUGAUGAAAAAUUCAAUUUCUUUUACAAAAGUUCCAUUAACAAAGGAAUUAAGGACCCUAAGACUAGGAAAAUAUUAAGGGGGAAAUUAUUUUCCUAAAUUUAAGUUUUACUAGGAAAAUCUUUCAUUUAUCUGGGCAAUUGUUGUCCAUUGAUUCAUUUUUCGAAAAUGUUUUCUAUGAAAUAAAUAGAUCGAAGAAAUGUUUGAGUUGGUAGUGUUGCUCAGGAUUUUUGGUAAAAUAAUCCAUAAAAAAUUAUACAUAUUUCUUACAUUUGGUUAUUGAAUUACUAUGCAUAAUUCUAUGUAACUCUGUGUUUGUGUUGACAUGCGCAAAGUAAUAUAUGUGGAGGAUUUGUACGGACAUUUUUAUGUGCAUUUUCAUUUGGGGGAUCAUCAGGCGUACGAGCCAGUCAAGAUAUUCGUGAACCACUUGUGUUGGACUCAUCGCCUAUUUGAAAUCUGCUCGAUUUUUUUUUUUUUUUUGAGUUCAAUUAUCUUGCCGAGUCAAAUUCGAGUCUAAAGACACUUGACUUGCUCCGGUCACGAGCCUAACUGAGUAUUUAAUUUUUUGUUGUGCUUUCUUAUUAUGGUGAUUGAUAAUGUAAAAUAUUCUUACAAUAUCACUUUUGCUAUGUAAUUGCCUUUCAGCCUCUUAUAUAUUUUUAAAGACAAAAUAAAAAGAGUAUUUCGAGCCGAGUUGAGUUUGAUUGAGUCAGAAAAAAUUAAGUACAUUGAUUUUAUACACGUAAAAGUGAGUCGAGCCAAGUCAGGCUCGAGGAUGCCGAGCUCUACACCAAGUCACGUUCAAAUAGGGAAUUAGGUACUUUAUUGAGUUCAAAGCUUCGAGUUUAUGAGUCUAGGAUUAUGUUGCCUUGGCUCGACUCUAUUGCAUCCUUUUUAUGGGAAAAAUGUCAAAAAAAAUUCUAAACUUUUGAGAAAAUUUCAAAUAAAAACCUCAAGUGUCAUUGUUUUCUCAAGUAUGAGCCUGAAGUGGACUUUUUGUUAAAUGAUGAUAUGAAGUGGCCAUGGUUAUUUUAAAUAAGAGCUUGCCCUCAUUGGUCACUGGUUGGCUAAAUAUUUCAAUUGGUUAAAGGGCGUUUUCAUAUAUAAUUUUAAUUUUAAGUCAUUUUUUGUUCUUUUUUGUUCUCUUUUCAUUUUCUUUUUUUCUUUCUAGAGAGGGCCGACGACCUCUCUAGAAACCGCUUGAACAAAAACGGGGGAAACUGGAGAAAAAGACAGCACGCAGAGAGAGAGAGAGAGAGAGAGAGAGUCGGAGGGGGUUCGCUCUCUCCUGCCGAGACAGAGGGAGCGACGAGAGACAAAGGAGGUGUUUCGCUCGCUCCCUCUCCCGCUCGCAUUCCGAUUCCGUCGCCGACGAUCUCCGGCCAGCUACGUCUCCGGUGAGUCCUCUUUUACGCACCUCCGAGGAUCCGAGCUCGGCGACGCUGGGGCAGCCGGCCGUCGGCCGAUUCUCUUCGGGCUCCCCCCCGUCGCCGAGCCCUUCCGUCCCGUCUCGGUUCAACCGGGGCGGAGGAUCCUCGUUCUUCGUUUCUUCCUGCCUGUUUUGGUUCGCGUUUGGGCCUCGAACGGCGAGUUUUGCUCCUGUCUGUCUGUCGAUGCAUGUCGCAUGCUCGGUGAAAUGCCUGAACUAGAUUUGUAUUGGUAUUCUCCCGUUCUCGUUCGUUCCUACGUACUUGAUGAUCGUUAGGCACGUUCUUGGGGAUUUUCAUCACAUUCUCUGCCUCGGUUGUGACUGGCUCGUUACGGUUUUUUCGACCGACCAAGGAGCGACGUCCCGAUCCUGAGGAUUAGCGACAUUAGUCAGUGGAGUCCAUUCCAUGGCUGCCGGUGGUGAGGUUUGGCCGGGCUUGACGUCGUCACCGGUCUGGUCGGGCGAGACGAGCGGGCUCGGGUGUGGGCUGGCCGAGACUUAGGGUUUUCCUGGGGCCUUGGGGUUGGGCUAGCCAAAUAAUAGGAAAGAGGUGGUCGACUGGGCUUGGAGUUUUAGAAAUUGGUGUGGGCUAAAAGAGGGAGAAGGAAUUAGUGGGGGGUUGGAUGUGGGUCUAGAAUAGGAUAUAGGAGGGCUGGGCUCAUGUGCGGAGCUCAAUCUGACUGAGAACCUAGACCAGUGAGACCUGGCUUCGGUUCCUGUCCAGACCCGGCCCAGAGACCCAAAUGUAGAAAUUUGAUGAGAAAGUUUCUUCUCUUGACCUUUUAGUGUAAUUGGUGCCUUGCUUGCUUGCACUUUGGUUGUUUUGCAUGUCUAAUUUGCGUAUUUAAUCACGAGUGUGAAUGUUUAGAUGCACAUGCUAUAUUAACUAAUACUGUUGAGGUUGAAAUGAGAGCUUGUACUCACUGUUCCUUAAGUUUCUGUGUUGCUUUUGGUUGGAUAUUGGAAUUAUAAAGAAUCUUUUCCGUGUCGUCAUCCGUGGUUAUGAUCAAGAGAGCUCUUAUUUUGUUUUAGUUUGUCAUACGUGGAAUUUGUUCACAUUGAAAUCCUUUAUUGGAUAGGAACUUUGAAUCUGCAUGAUUUGAACUUUUAAGGAAAUCGUGUUAGCUUGUUAAGUUUGCCUGGAGUUGUCUAAUGUUUAUUUAGUUUUCUUUGCCUGGAGCCAUGGAUAAAAGACGAGCUCUUGUGAUAGCUGGGCCCGAUAAAGUUUUGUGUUGGUAGAUGUGAAAGAUUGUGUGAUGUCCCUGAUCCCUUACUCCAUCAGGUACUUGGCUUCCUUGAAAGAACUCAUAGUGUCUUGUCGAGUAGAACCACGAUGAGUUGAGGUUACCCAAUAGAAGGCGUUUCUUGUAAUACGUGGAUUGGGCAUUGUCUUGUUGUGAUUUAUACCAUGUGAAAUCCUUCUCUUUCCAUACAUCAAGACGCUUCUUCCAUAUAUUCUGAGAUAAAAUUUGCCAAAAAUCGUAAGGUUCAAACUCUUGGAGUGAGCUUUGAUUUGCCGAUAAUAUCAGUAUUACGGUACCUUCAUGCGUGUUUAGGAGCGAAACCUUGACAGAAUUCUAUUUGGGAAUAGAGGACUUGCUUUCUUCUUCCAUUUGUUUUUCGGAUCUUACGACUUACUUUUAUGGAUGAUGGGUCAAUUGGAAGCCUGUUUUCAGUUCCUUGUCUUGAGGAUUUGUGUCUUUGAAAUUGUUGGCAUCUCAAAACCCUUACUGUUUCAAUUCUAAAUCUAUUGAGCUUGUUUAUCGAGCAAAAGACAAUUAAACCUAAGCUCGAGCUCUUUAGCUAUAUUGAUGGGCUUGUCUAAGUGUGCGAUACGCGAUGCUUAUGUGCUACGUGACGCUCAUUUGAUUUUGAGUGGUCCGGCCGAGGGGAUUUAUGCUUCCCGUGCACAUAAACUUCUAAAGGAUCUGUCUGCUACGAAAUGUCUUUUUCUCCUGAGGUAUAAUAUUAAUCUUAUUUCUUGUACUUUGGGUCGAAGCAUUGCAUUAUGUUUUGUCAGUCAAAUUAGUGUUCUCUGGAUCUAUUUUCAGGAGAUCAGUUUCUUCCUAAUCUUCUCUUGCCUUAACCUCUUGUCAUUCGACAUAUGAUAGAUUCCCUAUCAAUCCUUGCGAUGCUCAACAACUAUCCUUAUUUGGUCAGGCUUUUGUUUUGUGGGAUAACUAUUAUGUCCUUCUUAUUAUUUCCUCUGACUGAAUCUUGUGAUCAAAUGCGAAAGUUGAUUGUUAUGUAAUUGUCAAUUAGGGUUUGGUUGUGAACUUCAAAAACGACGAAGGAAUAUUGGAUCCGGCGCCCGAGUGCUUCUAAACGUCACUCAAGUUCAUCACGAUUGAAGAAUUUGAUGCCACUUAUUACCAACUUUUAGCCAUGACGAUCAUACUUAGGGCUGCCUAAGUUUUGCAGUAGAGGCUUCACAUAAUCUGCUUAGAGCAGAAGUCAGGGUCUUCUAUGGUAGAUCUUUUGGAAAGCGUUUAGCUCCUUUCGAUGAGCUCAGAUCAAUGUUUCAUUUCUCUGUGCCCCUAUGACUUUUAGCAUAUUUAGUUAGUUGAUGAGAUUCUUGAGUUAGCUAGACUACCGCUUCUUGAGAAACUUUAUUAGUUUUGCCAUAUGGUGAGCUGUAGUUUAGCUAUCUCAAGAGUCUCGUCAACUAACUGAAUGUGCUAAAAGUCAUAGGGGAACACUGACAUGAGACAUUGAUCUGAGCUCUUAGGAAGAAACUGAAUGCUUUCCAAAGGAUCUACCAUAGAAGCUCUCAGCCUUUGCAAAACUUGGGCAGUCCUAAGUAUAAUUGUCACGGCUAAGAGUUGGUCAUCAGUGGCAUCAAAUUCUUUAAUCGUGAUGAACUUGAGCGACUAUUGGAAGCAUUCGGUGCCGGGUCCAAUAUUCCUUCAUCGUUUUUGGAGUCCACAACCAAGCCCUAAUUGACAAUUACAUACCAAUCAAUCUUCGCAUUUGAUCACAAGAUUUAGUAAGAGGAAACAAUAAAAAUGAUAGAAUAGUUACCUCACAAAAAAAAAAGCUGACCAAACAAGGACAGAGAGCAUCGAAAGGAGUGAUAGGGAAUCUAACUUCAUUGUGUCAUAAGUGUCGAAUGACAAGAGGUUGAGGCGAGAGAAGACUGGGAAGGAACUGAUCUCUUGAAAAUAAAUCCAGAGAACACUAAUUAGACUGACAAAACAUAAUGCAAUGCUUCGACUCAAAAUACAAAAAAUAAGAUUGAUAUUAUACCUCAAGAAUGUAGUAAUGCAGAAAAAAGAUGUUCGCAGCAGACAUAUCUUUAAAAGCUUAUGUGCGCGGGAAGCAUAAAUUCCCUCGAUUGGAUCACCCAAAACCAAACGAGCGUCACGUAGCACAGAAUCAAACAAGUGCCCACCAAUAUAGCUAAAAAGCUUGAGCUUAGGUUUAGUUGUCCUUUGCUCGAUAAACCAACUCAAUAGAUUUAGAGCUGAAACAGGUUUUGAGAUGCCAACAAUUCCAAAGACACAAGUCCUCAAGACAAGGAACUGAAAGCAGGCUUUCGAUUGACCCAUCAUCCAUAAAAGUGAGUCCACUAAGAUGUAAGAUCCGUGAAACAAAUGAAAGAAGGAAGUAGGUUCCUCUAUUCCCAGAUGGAACUUUGUCAAGGUUUCGCUCCUAAACAAGUAUGAAGGUACCAUAAUGCUGAUAUUAUCGGCAAAUCAAAGCUCACUCCAAGAGUUUGAACCUUGCGAUUUAUGGCAAAGUUUAUCCAAGAGUAUAUGGAAUAUGCGUCUUGAUGCAUGGAAAGAGAAGAUUUCACAUGGGAUAAAUCACGACAAGACAAUGCCCAAUCCAUGUAUUGCAAGAAACGCCUUCUAUCAGGUAAUCUCAACUCAUCGAACACAAGAUUGGGAAGGGAUGCCCACAAGGACCUCCACCUACUCGACAAGACACUUGUUCUGAUGAGUUCUUUCAAUGGAAGGAAGCCAAGUAUGUGAUGGAGUAAGGAUCAGGGAGAUCACACAAUCUUUCACAUCUACCAACACAAAACUCUCCUUUAGAGUUAUCGGGCCCAGCUAUCACAAGAGCUCGUCUUUUAUCCAUGGCUCUAGCUAGUACUCAGGAGUCAAAGCUGACAGAAGGAAACUAAAUAAACAUUAGACAACUCCAGGUAGACUAAACAAGCUAACACAAUUUCCCAAAAAGUUCAAAUCAUGCAGAUUCAAAGCUCCUAUCCAAUAGAGGAUUUCAAUGUGAACAAAUUCCAUGCAUGACAAACUAAAACAAGUGCUCUCUUGAGCAGAAACCACGGAUGACGACAUAAGAGCUGAAUGCUUUCCAAAAGGUCUACCACAGAAGGUCCUAGCCUCUGUUUUGAGCAGAUUAUGUGAAGCCUCCGCAAAACUUAGGCAGCAGGUAUGAUCGUCACGGCUAAAAGUUGGUCACCAAGUUCAGGUGGCAAAACUAAUAGCUUGUUUUCUCUUACAUGUUCUGAAUGGUAAAAUUCAUUACAAAGAACUUAAGGUGAUCUUUUGGCUCAUCAUUAGUCAUUUUGGUUGUUCACUUUAAGCAGUAGAAUUGCGACAAUACAUGGAACUCGUAGCGUCGUUGUUAGAGCACAACAAGCUUGUUCAUGGCCUCUUCUUGAUUUCAGGAUAGUUUAUUUGCAAAUUCAUGCACUUGACUACUUCAUGCUUUUGUUUCCUUCUCUUGAUAUGAGAACAACUCGUAUUUCUUUGUGUGUGACAUUGCAAAUUGAAUUAAUUUAAUGUGGCCCUUCAUUUUAAGUGCAGGGCUAUGGCUGAACUAUGAGUUCUUAGACUAUUGGGGAAUCCUCGAGUUCCUUCCUGAAAUUUUACCACUAAACAAUCUUCACCAUUUGUCUUUGGCAAAUAUUAGGAUCAUGGCAGAUGAAAACCUAAGAUCAGUGAAUUGUAUGCUCUUGAUGUACACACUUAUCUUUGUGAUGUGAGAAGAAAUAGAUAUGUCCCAUUCGAUUGGAGUCCUUUCAUCGGAGAUUGGAGAAGGAACAUCAGGUAAAUUUGGUGUAUCAUAUUGCAUCAUGGAAUCCAUGGCAGUUUCCAUAUAAUCUAGGGUUAUAGAUGCAAAUCUUUGCUCUAUAACGGUUCUUAAUGUAGCCUGUUGAAAUUGUUGAGCAUCUUAGGUGUCGCACUGAUCGGCUUUGCAGCCUAGUUCGGAAUAUGUGAAGGAUAUCGUUCUGGCACAUAAAUAAAGGGAGGGAAGAAAGGGCCGGCCUUUAUAUGCGAGUAGAAUUUUUCAGUUCUACUUGCAAACUAUUCUUUAUGUGAAGAUAUGAACAUUUUUUCUUGAUGGAUAGCGAGGCCCUAUGUGGAAAGGGGACAGUUGACAGAAUCUGAUUGUGAUGGCUGCUGACGAGACUAAAAAGCCUUCAAGACAACUCUGGAAGCUUGUGAAGAAACAGUACCGAACUUCAUGGAAGAUCCCAAUUUGUCACGAUGUCAAUGCAUCACCGAUUUCUUCGUGAUUUGAGAGCAUAAGGACGAAGAGUGUGCAUGUGCUUUUGGGAUUCCAUUGCUUUGUCAUCGCUAGAGCUUAUUAGUAUGGUAUGGAAUACUCUCAGGGCAGGCAAUUUUGCAGCAUCAAUGAGGAGACAACCAUAGUUGGAGGAGCAAUGAGCUUGAGCAUGUUAUUUCGGCUGAAAUUAAAAAGGAAAAAAAAUUGCUUAGAAGUGAAGGAACUGAUGUGAUCAUAAGAUUGAGAUAAUGCGGAAAAGUUAUUGUAAGGGAAAAUGACAUAGAUGAUCUUUAAUCUUUGGUUUAAUAGGCGAUGUGGUUUCUGAAUUUUUAAUUUGCUUGAUGUAGUCUCUGAACUUUGGUCCAAUGUGCAAUGUCAUCCCUAAAUAUUAAAUUUCUUUAAUGUGACUCCUGAACUAUUAGUAAAAGAUCGAUUUAGUCUUUCACCUAUAUGAAGAUAUCUACUAUUGUUCUUUCGGUAAUUCAAGUUAAUGGAAUCUUUGUGUGGCUUCCGAUAUGUUAUAUUUGAAUGGUAGAUCUUAAAAAGGGUUUUGCAUGGAUUGUCCACCUAUAUCGUUCGUCUCAAAUCAAGGAAAGAAAUUGUCAUGUGUAAUAUUUGAAGUUCGUCAUUUGCUUAUUUCCUUUUCUAAAGUAAAUGGAUUAAAUGAUAGACAUGCUGACUCAUCAUUCAAGCAUGUCAUUUGAGCCAAGAGGAAAACCACAUUGAAAAUUUAUUACUAGUUCAAAAAUCACAUUUCACAUAUUAAAAAUUCAGAGACAAAAUUACAUGUCAAAUCAAAAUUCAUGGAUUGUUUAUGUUGUCAUCUCUUAUUGAGACAGGGCAGUCUCUUGCCAUUCUUCAUUUCAGCACAGAAAGCAUGGGUAAAAUGAUCUAUAUCGCAAGCCCGAUGGUAUUUAAUCAAAUCACAUCCCUACCAUGACACUCAUUACGAUGUUUCGCAAAGUGAAGUACACAUUAGUGGUCCACUCAUUGCAUGAGAAUACAUGCGUUUUUUUUGUGAGAGAGAGAGAUAGAGAGAGAGAGAGAGAGAGAGAGAGAGAGAGAGAGAGAUGUAAAAGAAGGAAGCAUGUAUCAGGAAUUUUCUGGAUUAUAAAGCAUGAAUGGUGCUUAUGAAAGUGAAAAAUUCAAGACGAACCCUGCUGAAAAGUAACUAUCCGAAGGCGCAUUUGCAGCCAAAAGAUUGGUGAAAGCUGUACCGCCUGGAAGUCUGUAAACUUUACAAUGUUUUGCAGUUCGCUGGUAAACAAUGGGUGAUUUCUCAUGUCAAGAGCAUCAAUUAUGAACUGCCCCACGCUGUGUACUUCGAGAAAAGAGCACCCGACAAAAACUUUUUGUUAUAAUCACCAGAAGAAGAGGACAUCCACUGACCAAAGCAAUCUUCAUUCACAAGCAUCCUCUCUCUAAUGCANNNNNNNNNNNNNNNNNNNNNNNNNNNNNNNNNNNNNNNNNNNNNNNNNNNNNNNNNNNNNNNNNNNNNNNNNNNNNNNNNNNNNNNNNNNNNNNNNNNNUGGUUGUGUGAUGACCGCUGGGAGAUCGAAUUUUGCAUUAUGGCAUGUUCAUUUAACGGUGGUAAUGCUCGUUGAACAACCAUUUCACUUACUAGCUCCUAGUGGUAUGUUUUUUUCCUUAGCCAAGCUAUUUUAGAAUUGCGGAUUGGAAAUCGAUACAGCUUGUGUUUACUUGCGUUAAAUGUACAAUGUUAUUGAUAUUUUGCUUCCUAGGAAUACGCGAGGCAGCUGCCCUUUAGUUAUCCUUCAUCGAUUUGACAAUUAAACCGGCUAUUUUCAUGAAGCAAUGACAUGUAAACGUUGAUAUCCUACUUUCAUUAAUAGCCUGUCCCUAGAUCUUCUGGUACUCUUUUCAAGAUAAUUAAAGUGAGCUUGUUCCGGGUGAUUUGCCUUUACUGUGGCUUGAGGUGAUUGGCGAUGGUGUUGUGCGGUGGUGGCGGUGGUGGUCGUUGAUGACGUUGAUCAGAGACACAGGUUGUUGGUAGCAAUGGCCUGAGUUAAUCCUGGGUUGCUUUAGUUUAGGUGUAUAUUUGUGUAAAGUUUUAGUAACCAGAUUGUUAAGCUUUAGUAAUUUGGUUAUUAGGCUUGAUAUGAGGUAAGUCCGGGAAUAAUGAGCAUGGGGAAGGAUAUUGUAGACGUCUUGAGAUGGAUAUUAGUAAAAAUGGGCUCGUUUUGAUUAAAGCAUAAUGCAUUCAAUAUUAGUCUUGGAUCUGCCAAAAGGAUAACGCAAAACCUCAUCGACCGACACUUGACCUUUUUCUUUAUUCAGAGCGUGCAUCAUGAUGCUAAACGAAAAGCAAGUUGCAGUCUUAUUCACGUCUUCAAUGCAACCGUCGAGUCAAAAUUAAGUCCUGAUUCGGGAAUCGACUUGACUACAUUUCUGCACCAAGGAUUCAUUACUGUUACCUCGAACGAUCAUAGCUCUUUGAAAGCAUUACCUAGGGUGGAUGAUUAGUAUCAUCAUCAUUCCAAUGCUUCAAUCCUUCCGGCGAUUCAAACCUCAUGAGGAGGUAAGUCUUAAGCGAUUCUUGGAAUAAAUUAUGGUUAUAAUUGGGUUGGGAGGCCCGGACCUUCAUCAUUUUCNNNNNNNNNNNNNNNNNNNNNNNNNNNNNNNNNNNNNNNNNNNNNNNNNNNNNNNNNNNNNNNNNNNNNNNNNNNNNNNNNNNNNNNNNNNNNNNNNNNNUAGCAAUUUGACUCGGUGGUCAUUUUCGAUCUCCAUGGCAUCGAAGAAUUUCUCAACUUCCUGGAACCAAUCCAAAAUGUCCUUUCGAUUGAUAUUGCUCGAGGUCUAGUCAACAUCCCCUGUUCUGAUGGCCUCCUUGAAUAAGCCCAUUUAGGAACUCGACAUAAGCUUGUUGCCUCUGUUGGGGUUUUGUCCCACAUUCCAUAAAUUACUUUCGAGACUUGAGCGGCCUGAGCACAUUCGGUCGAAAGAUUACUAGGUAUGAGUUGGUAAACAAACGCUGGAUGACGACAAGUCCUAAAGCCUCCAUUCGGUUUGCUAUGCAAAUUGGUAGAACUUAGCCCAUGUAAUAGGCUCGUUUUCACGGCGCUCAAUUGCGGGGAGAUUAUCAUUGAUGUUAUUGGUCAUUGUCACAGAAGAAACCUACUCAGCUACCAUAUGAUGCAGAGGAAGAUAUGCUUGGAAAAAGGAUUUCAAAGGUAGUGUUUAUUUUCAACAAUGAAGCGUGGAUCGCAAUGUUUUAAGUGAGUAUUUGUAAGGAGGUCGCCCUUUAAGAAAUAAUUAUAAUCAAAUAACGAAAUUAUGGAAAAAUAUUAGUAGAGGAGAAAGUCUACAAAACACGUCUUGAACAUCUACAAAAUAUGUCCGAAAUCUUUGACGGUCUGGAAAUCAAGGAAGACGUGAAUUUGAGAUCAAAUAUUGCCUAAAUCAGUAUAGCCCAUUCGCAACUUCGAAGCUCCCACAAUUUUCUUUGAUUUGUGAGACCGCCUACUCCUAUGGUGCUCGAAGAUUUCUGUAUAAGCAUUUGCCUGUUGUUCCACGUCACUGCCUCAUUUCAAAGCUAUAUAAAAAAGUGUCCAUCAGCUAAAACAAUGCAUUCACUACUUCAGCGUAGCCUUUUGUUUACUAGACGUUGAUCAUGAAUCGAGCAAGUAGACUAGACACGUACUGCAAUUCNNNNNNNNNNNNNNNNNNNNNNNNNNNNNNNNNNNNNNNNNNNNNNNNNNNNNNNNNNNNNNNNNNNNNNNNNNNNNNNNNNNNNNNNNNNNNNNNNNNNNNNNNNNNNNNNNNNNNNNNNNNNNNNNNNNNNNNNNNNNNNNNNNNNNNNNNNNNNNNNNNNNNNNNNNNNNNNNNNNNNNNNNNNNNNNNNNNNNNNNNNNNNNNNNNNNNNNNNNNNNNNNNNNNNNNNNNNNNNNNNNNNNNNNNNNNNNNNNNNNNNNNNNNNNNNNNNNNNNNNNNNNNNNNNNNNNNNNNNNNNNNNNNNNNNNNNNNNNNNNNNNNNNNNNNNNNNNNNNNNNNNNNNNNNNNNNNNNNNNNNNNNNNNNNNNNNNNNNNNNNNNNNNNNNNNNNNNNNNNNNNNNNNNGUUGCGACCUUUCAAGAAUCGCGGCCUACUCAUUUCUUUUUUUAAUCUUUUGAUUAAAUCUAAGUGGAAGUAUUUUUUAUUUUUUUAUUAAAGUAUAGUUUAGUUGUGGCAUGUGCAAUUCAAGAGGUCUCGGGUUUUCGAGUGAUUCUGAAAAUGGGUCUUAUUAACAAGAGUUCUGAGUAAGCUAAUUGAAAUAUUAAAAAUAGUAAAAACUCAUGUCGACAUAUUUCACGAGAAUUAUUGAAGUGAAGAGAGGUACGACGAAGCGAAGAAGAUGUUUAAGAGCAUGGUGAACCAUGGGUGUCGGCCUAACAGUGAUUGUUAUUUCACCUUCAUUCACUAUCUUUGCAAGGGAGGGGAUUUCGACACCGCUUUGCAGAUUUGUAAGGAGAGUAUGGAAAAGGGUUGGGUUCCGAAUUUCGGAACGAUGAAGUCGCUAGUUAAUGGGCUCGUGAGUAUUGAUAAGGUCGAUGAGGCUAGGGAGCUUAUUAAGCAGGUGAAGGAGAGGUUUUCUAGAAAUACAGAUUUGUGGGAUGAAGUAGAAGCUGGUUUACCUCAGUAAUGAAGAUCAGAUGGUUUGCUAUUUUCAUUUGGUUUCAAUAAAAGCGCAGCUUGAUCUGAAAUGGGCAAACAUUGGUAUCAUGGAAGCCAGGUUUUACUUUUUUCAAAAUCGAUCAACUGCAGAGAUUCUCGAAUGAAAAGGCUGUCGGACAUCCUCUUAUCAUUCAUUAGGUUCUGGUUCUGGUUACUCUUGAUGUACGGACUAAAAGCGCAUGUGAGCCGAACGAACUUUGGGAAGAUGUCUUACCUCUCUCUUGGUGCAGGUUCAAGUACCAGCCUCCCUUUGAGCCACCUACCGUGAGUCUUAUGGUGCUACUCUCUGGUUGGUUAUUGACUGUUGUUAUUUUUGUGUUAGGGUAGCUGGGGAUUCCCAUAGGAAGUUUUUCCAGUGGAAUAGUGUGGUGUAUGUAGAGCAUCAAUCUGGAAGUUGACAUCACUGUUUGCUGUUUGUGUCAAUUGGACAUGUGAUGGUUAUCACUCCGAACCUUUUCAAUUCGUCCAUUCAUCCAGUUGGAGUCACUUGGUCUUGAAGGAUAACCGAUGUUACCUAAGGCUUUUGUCUUGUUAGUGGCCAUACCAUAGCAUGUUGAUGAGGGAUUGUCAAAUCUUUCCAGUACUGCUUUGGUAAAUCAGAGAUUGGAUGACUGUUUUGCUGCUAGCAGAGGUGCCAAUGUAAUGCCCGUUCUUUGUUUGUUGCUUAUGUUAAUUGCUGGAGAUGCAGUAUGCUUUUCUUACUCUGAACUGUAAAUGCAUAUUAUCGAAACUACUUUUAGCCGAAAUAUACACCUUUAUCCUGAGAAGACACGAGCAUUGCUUCGAUGUACUCUGUGCUCGUGAGACGAUAUGAACUUUUGCGGCUCAAGGCGAUUUAUGUGUUCGCAGGUAUUGAGAAAAUCGAUUCAGUGUUUUGCAUCAGCAAAUGCCCUCAGCUAUACUUUCCACUCAUGCAAGGGAAAGAAGGAACUUUUUUUUCAUCAGGAGGAAAUCUGGGUGAAUUGAGGGUAAGUGCUUGGCAUAUAUCUGGGCAGAAGGAACAUGUAUCUCAAAUGUUCUCCAUAGAAAGGAGUCAAGCAACCAGAAGAAUUUCCAAUGAAUUGAACAGGAGAAAGAGAGUGCGAACGUCUGUGUUUAUGAACGCCGAUAGGCUUAAAAGAUUCCGAAAGAGAAUGACUUGGACAAUUGUCUUCCCUAAGACCUGUCAAAUUUGUCCUCAAGAUGAGUAUAAUUGAACCCGCGAUUCCCAUUUGUCCGAUAACUAUCUUUGACCUGUGCGACAGAGCAAAUGCUUGGGCGAGCUCAAAGCUCGCAUGGUGACGGUCAUAGGUAGCUCGAGCUUGCCGGCCCCUCGGGUGAGCCACGAGCUCGCCAACUUGCUUCAUGGCCGGUCACUGGACUGCCGACCAUUGCUGAGGCAUGCAAAAAGAAAAAAGAAAAAAGAAAAAAAUAUGAAAAAUUCAAUUUCUUUUACAAAAGUUUACUUUCAUAAGUAUAAAAGUUCCAUUAACAAAGGAAUUAAGGACCCUAAGACUAGGAAAAUAUUAAGGGGGAAAUUAUUUUCCUAAAUUUAAGUUUUACUAGGAAAAUCUUUCAGUUAUCUGGGCAAUUGUUGUCCAUUGAUUCAUUUUUCGAAAAUGUUUUCUAUGAAAUAAACAGAUCGAAGAAAUGUUUGAGUUGGUAGUGUUGCUCAGGAUUUUUGGUAAAAUAAUCCAUAAAAAAAUUAUACAUAUUUCUUACAUUUGGUUAUUGAAUUACUAUGCAUAAUCCUAUGUAACUCUGUGUUUGUGUUGACAUGCGCAAUAAGUAAUAUAUGUGGAGGAUUUGUACGGACAUUUUUAUGUGCAUUUUCAUUUGGGGGGAUCAUCAGGCGUACGAGCCAGUCAAGAUAUUCGUGAACCACUUGUGUUGGACUCAUCGCCUAUUUGAAAUCUGCUUGAUUUUUUUUUUUUUGAGUUCAAUUAUCUUGCCGAGUCAAAUUCGAGUCUAAAGACACUUGACUUGCUCCGGUCACGAGCCUAACUGAGUAUUUAAUUUUUUGUUGUGCUUUCUUAUUAUGGUGAUUGAUAAUGUAAAAUAUUCUUACAAUAUUACUUUUGCCAUGUAAUUGCCUUUCAGCCUCUUAUAUAUUUUUAAAGACAAAAUAAACAGAGUAUUUCGAGCCGAGUUGAGUUUGAUUGAGUGAGAAAAAAUUAAGUACGUUGAUUUUAUACACGUAAAAGUGAGUCGAGCCAAGUCAGGCUCGAGGAUGCCGAGCUCUACACCAAGUCACGUUCAAAUAGGGAAUUAGGUACUUUAUUGAGUUCAAAGCUUCGAGUUUAUGAGUCUAGGAUUAUGUGACAUCCCGAUUUUUCAAUUUUAUUUUCAAUAAAUUGAUAUGGGCAUUUCGUUGGCACGUAUAUAGUUCUUUUCCUUGAGUUGGCCACUCAUGUGGAAACUAGUCUAUCGGGUGGAGCUGUUAAGAAUUUCUAAUGCAUCAGACUCGAGAAUUUGACCAGGAAGCGAUCUUUCGACCGAGCUAAUCUACAAGGGUCAUUGCGGCACAAUUAAAAUUGAUUAGAGAUCGGAGAUAGGUCGACUCGACAGAGGCAUGUGAUCAAGUGUGGGUGAUUCCACCAGAUCGCACAAUUCUGGUCGAUCGGCACUGGACCGACUUUUCUGUCGAUUGGGUACCCUGUGUUCGUAUUUGAAACCUUGAGAUUACCCCGACAACCAAAAAUCUCCAAUGUUUCAAAGAUGUACGUUGUGGCUUGAGAUGAUCAACCACAUGUCAAAUGCAUGAAAAUUUCUAAAGGCUACCCAGUAGGUUGGACCGUGCUAGUAUCGUGCCAAAGUGAAAUUAACCGUGGAAUUAAGAUCGAAUUCAGAAAUUGGAAGUUUGGGUGUGUCACAAAUCAUUUCAAGAUCAUUGAAUCAUCUUUGGAAGAUUUUUCAUGCAAGCCAAGCUUUUUAGCAAAAUAAUCAAGAAAUGGCUAAUUUGGCUCGAGAAAUUAGUAUGCCGNNNNNNNNNNNNNNNNNNNNNNNNNNNNNNNNNNNNNNNNNNNNNNNNNNNNNNNNNNNNNNNNNNNNNNNNNNNNNNNNNNNNNNNNNNNNNNNNNNNNNNNNNNNNNNNNNNNNNNNNNNNNNNNNNNNNNNNNNNNNNNNNNNNNNNNNNNNNNNNNNNNNNNNNNNNNNNNNNNNNNNNNNNNNNNNNNNNNNNNNNNNNNNNNNNNNNNNNNNNNNNNNNNNNNNNNNNNNNNNNNNNNNNNNNNNNNNNNNNNNNNAUGUUGACAAGUGUAAGGUGGAGAUUCGGUUCAAAAAGGGCACCCAUCAAUAUUAUCUCAAGCUUUGGAAGAGAGAGACAGAGAGAGAGAGAGGGAGAGAGGGGAGGAGCUGCUCGUGCGACCAGCCCAGACGCCGCCUCCAUCCGCUCGACCGGCUGCCCAUCGCCGGAGUUCGCCACCUCGCCGUCAUGCCGAACCGCCGUUGGCCGACCCCCUCUCCUUCCCUUUCCUCUCCCGUUGCGGUCUCUCUUCUCCAUCUCCCUUGGCUGCUUCGAGACCCAGCAGCAACCAGAGAAGUCCCGUCCGAAGCUGCACGCCAGCCGGAGGUCUCGCCGUUCGCCCGUCGCCGCCGUCGCGCGUCUACCUCGCGCUCGCCCGCGCCUGGCCGCGCGCCGCUCCGCCCGCUUCGCCCAGCUCGUCGCCCCGAGCUGCUGUUUAGCUCGCGCAAGAGCUGCCGGAGCUCAUUCGUCGCCGCCGUGCACCGCCGUUCGUCGCCGCCAGCCACCGCCGUAGCUCCUCCGCCCUUUCCGACCCGAACCGGCGCCGGAUCUACCCUUCCUCGGCCUCAAACCGCCAUGGACAGCAGCUGAAAAAAAUGGGUAUGCAGCGGACGUUUGGCCCGUUUUGGCCGCCUUCCUGAGCCCGGAUGCUCGGCCCGCUUUGAGGAAAGUUGUUCUCCUCGGCGUCCCCGUCGUUUUGGUCCGCUCGACUCGCUAAUCCGGUGAGUUUAGCUCACUAAACCUCGUUUAGAGGGUUAAUUAUGCUUAGGGAGGUUUAGUUUAUGUUAAGUAUUAUUAGGUUGUUAGUUUAGGUUAAUUAAGAGUGGAUUUGGUUAAGGUUGUGGUUUAAUUUAAAGUGUGCUUAAUUAAGGGUAAGUAGGUUUAUUUAAAAUAAGCCUUGAUUUGACUUAAAUAAAUUUACUUUUGAUUUAUUUAAAUGUCUCGAAAUUAUUAUAUGAUUUAAUAAUAUAUUUUAUUCGAAAUUAAUAAAAUAUUAUUAUUUAAUUAUUUUCGGAAUAAAUUUAAUUAUUUAUUAAAUUCCGAAAAUUUUGUCGGGACCCUAAAUUCUCAGAAUUUCGUACCGGUCGCUGCUGUGUAGUCAGAUUUUGAAAUUGAUGAUUGGAUAUUAUAAAUCGAAUGUGGAUUGUGAAAGAUAGGGAUAUUAUUAUUUAAUUAAUUUUCGAAAUAAAUUUAAUUAUUAAAUAAAUUCCGAAAAUUAAGUUGGGACCAUAAAUUCUCAGAAUUUUAUGCUGAUCGCUACUGUGUAUUCAGAUUAUGAAUUUGAUAAUUAGAUAUUUCAAAUUGAGUGAUGAUUUGUGCAAUUAAUUAUCGAAUUGUUGUGUGCUGGUUGAAAGACUCGGGUCGCAGUAGUGGCUAGGCUGACUGGACCUUUGUUCUUAUAGAAAUGCCGUCAGGAGAGUGACGUGGCUCGAGUCGCAGUAGUGGCUAGGCCGACUGGACCUUUGUUCUUAUAGAAAUGCCGUCAUGAGAGUGACGUGGCUCGGGUCGCAGUAGUGGCUAGGCCGACUGGACCUUUGUUCUUAUAGAAAUGCUGUCAGGAGAGUGACGUGGCUCGGGCCGCAGUAGUGGCUAGGCCGACUGGACCCAUGCUCCUUCGGGAAUGCCGUCGACGUAAUGACAAAGCCGCGCUCCAUGGGGGGGAGGCGAUGCCUGGCAUUAGUGUUAGUAGAUAGCCGAACUGCGAGUAGGCUAUGCCAUUGUGUGGCAGUGAAUAAUAAUUGGAAUGUGUGUUAAGUGAGACUGUGAUUUAUAUGAAAGUGAUGACGUUCCAAUUGUUUGAAUUAUUAUUACUACCUGAGAUUGUGUAAUACGAAUUGUGCUAACCUGCAGGGAAGAAUUGAGGCGAGGUAAGUUCUUUGUGUGAUGUGGCUAGGCCACCCUUGGGCGUAUUUUCUUUCUAAUAGGGGUUUAGGGGGUUGAACUUGCUGAGACAUCGUCUCAUCCCGGUUGUGGGAUUAAAAUUUCAGGUCCCUGAUGGACAGAGUGGCCAGAUAGCUUUGGUUGGCAUUGAAGAGUUGCAGAGGUGAAGCGAUAAGAUUGGAGGAUGUGUCCGACUUGUAGGUCGUAGGACAGUUUAUUUUAAGAGCCGGUCUUUUGUAGACUUUUGGCUGUAGGCCUUCGUCUGUAACUCCGUUGGUUUAUGUAAUUGAUUGGUUGUGAAAUUGUUUCCUGCUUUUCUAUCCCGUAUUUUAUUGUCAGGGGUUUUAUAGUACGUUUCGCUUGCGCAAUAAUAAAUGAAUGGGGUUGGCGACACUACCUGGGAAUGUCGCAUUUGAAUGACCAUGGUGGGAUGUUGACGCGCUCGAGGUUCGGGGCGUGACAUCCCUGUUUAAGUGGUAUCAGAGCAUGGUCUGUGUAUGGAGUGAUAAUGUGCAAUGAGUCAUGGGAUAGUUAGUAGGAAAUGCUUUUAAUAUGCUGAUGCAUGUGGUUGAUAGCUGUUUGGUAGCUUGUUUGUGUGGUCGCUCAAAUUUCAACCUGAUGUUGGAAUCGGAAAACAGGUGUCUAUAAGGAACCUGUAAAAUGAGUGACCAGGAGUGGAGAACUCCUUUGGAGGAGGUCGAUAAGACUUGUACCUCAGGGUAGGAUGCUGACAAGAGUUGGUACCUGAGGUAAAGCGCAGGCUUAGACCAGCGCAAGUGUGAGAGUACCGUUGCAAGUCGGUAGUUAGAGUGUAGCAGCACCGAACGAUCUUAGGUCCGUUGAGAUCGUUCAGGCGCUAGUGUCCUUUGGAAGCUUGUUGGGUCAGUAAGCUCAGGAUUGAGCCGUUGCUGUUGCCGUUGUUUCUACCGUUGCCAGUGUUGUGAUCGAUGUUGUUACUGCCGCGCCUGUUGAGGCCUAAUAUGGAGUUGUGAUCGAGGAUCAAGUCUCUGUAUCUGAGUCAAGGUUCAGUCUAGACAGAGAUGAAAAUCGGUUGGAGAGAAAGGCCGAUGUCAGAAGAAAGAUGCCCUGUUUCACCCAACCAGAAGAGUAGAGUUGGAAAGUCAGUGCUCAACUCGAUCGAUGUGUGUCGUGUCUGUAAGAAAAGACAUGGAUUUGUUCCGUGCUGUAAGAGGGAAAUGACUUGUUACAGGUGUCACCAGUAAAGCCAUUUGAUCAAAGAUGGCUCGUAUAGAUGGAUGGAACUAUAGCUGUUUCUGCAUCGUUGUUGAUAAGACAGAACAUGAGAAACAUGCUUCGGGACAUUUAGUGGGGUACUUGGAACAGACCCCAGUGCAAGGAAUGGUGCAUGAUGUCACUUGAUGGGAAGUAGAUGACUCACCGAUUGUGUGCUGAGUUUGUGGAAAAGAGGCUUGAAUCAGCCCAGUGUCGGAGUAAAAAGGGGAGCGUGCUUUGAAUGUGGCCAGCACGGCCAUCGAGUUAGGAACUGUCUGCAUAAGUCCAUGAGAGUGUAAGUACCGCUGCUGCAGAUAGGACGCCACUAGGAUGGCUAGAGGAGCAUGAAGGGAUCGACCAUGCAUCAAUCAGAAGAAGAAUGUUUAUGAGAUGUUUUAUGCAGAGUAAUGCAGUAGAAUUUUCAGUGAAGGUUGUAGGGUUUUCGUUGUGGUAAUAAGGUAAGAGAAAUGUGAAUUUCUGACUAUAGUUGUACUCAAAGAGUUUGCUUAAGUAUGACUUGGAAGUCAUUUAUAAAAAGGUUGGCUCAAGGAGCUUUAUGUUGUUUUGAAUCAUGUUGGUGAUAUAAUUCAGUUUGUUUAGAUAACGUGCGAAAGUUUUGAAUCAUUGAAAGUCGAAGAGGAAUUUCGAUCCUUGUUAUUCGUCACUGAAGAUGACCCGGUUCUGGUUGUUGGUUAUCGAAUCUACAUGGCAGCUGUAAUAGAUGCGUCAGUUGAGGAGCCGAAUAUGGAGAACAUAAUCGUGGUACGUGAGUUUUCUAAGGUAAUCUCUGGAGAAUUGUCAAGUUUGCUGUCAGAAAGAGAAAUAAGGUUCGUGAUUGAAUUAGCACCCGGAACAGAGCCAGUUCUUAAGGCUCCUUACCGGAUGGUGUUACCCGAAUUAAAAGAACUGAAGGUGUAGAUGCAAGAAGUGUUGGAUAGGGGAUUCAUACUGUUGACGCCUAAAAAUUAGUUAGGUUUUAUUUAGCUUUAUUUAACUUUAUUUUAUUUUAUUUUAUCUUUUUCGGAUAAUAAAUAAACAAAUAACAAAAACAAAAAAAAAAAAAUAAAAACAGGAAAAGAAACAAAAAAAAAAGCAUAAGCUAAUAGCCACAAGGGCUGGGCCUUCAAAGCCUAGCCCCUCCCUCUUUUCUUUUCCUUCGCAGGCCCGCAAGGCCCAGCCGCGUGGCUCAGCCCGGCUCUUUCUCCUUGUCUUCUUCCUCCCCUGUCUUCUUCCCCAACCGGAUAAGCAGCACGCGCCGGAGAGGAGGACGUGCGUGACGCCGGAGCAAAACGGAGGAAAAGUAGCGCACGUGGAGCAGGGGGUGGCUGGCGUCGGAUAAGAACGUAGGAGGGGCAGCUGGCGUCGGAUGGGACACCGGUUUGGCCGUCGAAGGCCGCUCGAUGCGCGAAGGGGACCAACGGUCGAGCUCCGUCGACCGGCCACCCCUCGGCCUAUAAAUAGGCCCUCCAUCCCCGACGAAGAGGAGAGACACGGACGCCGAGAAGGAUCGAAGGCUGCAGAUCCUCGAAACCUCCCACUAAGAGACUUCAGACGGGGGGCCGAGGACGAGCAGGCCGAGAUCCGAGAACUCGCGGCCGGAGACGAUGGGGAGAGAUCCGAGUGGGUGGAGGCUGAGCACAGAGAUCCCGGAGAGAGAGAGACGGAGCCGGAUCGAGGUCGCGACCCUUGGACACCCCACUGAGAGACUUCAGGGGGGUCGAGGGCUCGCGGCUUCGGAUCUGGGCUUCGCCGGAGUAGAGAGAGAGAGAGAGAGGGAUGCCGGAGAAGAGAUUCGCUUGGGUCUCGUCGUCGCGCCGCCCCUGUCGCGCCAUUGCCACGAACAGGUAUCGUGAUGUCGCCGUCGCCAUCUCCCUCUUCGUAGUCCAGUCAUCGUUGCCGUCGCUGCCGGAAUGCUCCCGUUUCCCCCCCUUUCGGCGCCGCGGAUUCGCAAACCCUAGGGUUUGCGAUUUCUGGGUCACGAAGCGGAUCCGGGUUUGGAAGGCCGGGUAGGGAUUCUGCGAUUUAAGGGGCGGCGGAAGCCGGGUCGGAUCCGGGUAGGGUUUCACCGGGGGAGCGGGUUGCGAAGUCGGGUCGCGAAUCGGAGUCGGGUCGGGUAGGGUUCGCGGGGAGUCGGGUUGCGGAGCGGGCUGUCGGGCUGGGUUGUCGGGUCGGGCCGGGUGUCCCUAAACACCCGGCCACGACGCCGUUUCAUUAAAUAAAAUAAAAAAAAGAGAAAAAGCCGAAAAAUCUGAGUCGGGCCCGCGUUGUGGGCCCGUCCGCGGGUGGGUCGUUGGCCCGGGUCGGACCCAACCCGCGGAUCCGACCCGGGCCGGUUUUGUUUUAUUAUUUUAAUAUAAAAUAGUAUUCUAAUAAAUAAUAAAUAAAUAAUUUAUUUUAAAAAAAAAUCAAAAAUGUUUUAAUUUCCAAAAAAAUCAAAAAAAUAUUUAAAAAAAAUGUUGAAAAAUGUUUUAUUUUCUAAAAAAUCGAGAAAAAUCAAAAAUAANNNNNNNNNNNNNNNNNNNNNNNNNNNNNNNNNNNNNNNNNNNNNNNNNNNNNNNNNNNNNNNNNNNNNNNNNNNNNNNNNNNNNNNNNNNNNNNNNNNNCGACACAGACUUUCCAGUGCAUCACCGGGGGAACACCUGUUCUAUUCAUGAAGGAUAAAGUUGAUUCAUUGUGUUUGUACGUUGAUAUUCUUUAACAUCGACUUGAGGUUAGGGUAUCAUCAGUUGAGGAUCAGGAAGAAAGACAUCGAAGUUAAGACCUCACACUUGAUACAGUAGUUAUGAGUUUACUGUAAUGCUGUGUGGUUAAUGGACACCCCAGCUGUUUGUUUGGGUCUGAUGAGCAAAAUGUUUAAGGACACUUGAAUCAGUUGUGAUCGUGUUCAUUGAAGUUAUCCUGGUGUGUUCAAAGAGUGCUGAGGAGCAUAAGAGACAUUAGAAGAUGAUACUUCAGACCUUGAGGACUCUUGAAUCUUACGCUAAGUGUAGCAAGGGCGAGUUUUGGAUGACUCGUAUUGCGUUCCUAGGCCAUGUGAUUUCAGGCAAAGAAAUCUCCAUAGACCCCGUCUAAGAUUGAAGCAGGGAACAGUUGGUCGAGAUUGGCUACAGUGACAGAGAUCAGAAGUUCUGGGGAUUAGCAGGACAUUUCAGACAGUUCGUAAAAGGGUUUUUAGCGUUAGCGUUACCAUUGAUAAGACUACUGAGGAAGUAAGAAAAGUUCGUGUGGACAGGAGGGUUGAGAUCUACAGUGAUGCGUCGUUUAAAUGAUUGUGUUAUGUGUUGAUGCAGCAUGAUAGAGUUAUUGCAUAUGCGUCCCAUCAGUUGAGAUCUUGUGAGUUAAAUUAUUGGACGCACAUCGUAGAACUUGCAGUAAUUAAGUUCGUUUGGAAUUUUAGAGGCACUAUCGGUACAGAGGAAUAUUUCAUAUCGUCAAUGACUAUCAAAGUCUUAAGUAUGUAUUCAGUCCCUGUCCAGACCCGGCCUAGAGACCCGAAUCUAGAAAUUUGAUUAGAAAGUUUUUUUCUUGACCUUUUAGUGUAAUUGGUGCCUUGCUUGCUUGCACAUUGGUUGUUUCGCAUGUCUAAUUUGCGUAUUUAAUUACGAGUGUGAAUGUUUAGCUGCAUAUGCUAUAUUUUGAUGUUAACGCGCUCUAAUACUGUCGGGGUUGAAAUGAGAGCUUGUACUCACCGUUCCUUAAGUUUCUGUGCCGCUUUUGGUUGGAUAUUGGAAUUGUAAAGAACAUUUUUCGUGUUGUCGUUUGUGGUUCCUGCUGCCCUUAUUUAGUUUGUCAUGCGUGGAAUUUGUUCAUAUUGAAAUCCUCUAUUGGAUAGGAGCUUUGAAUCUGCAUGAUUUGAACUUUUUGGGAAAUCGUGUUAGCUUGUUAAGUCUGCUUGGAGUUGUCUGAUGUUUAUUUAGUUUCAUUCUGUCAGAUUUGACUCUUGAGUAUUAGGGAUAAAAGACGAGCUCUUGUGAUAGCUGGGCCCGACCCGAUAAUUCUAAGGGAGAGUUUCGUGUUGGUAGAUGUGAAAGAUUGUGUGAUCUCCUUGAUAUAUUACUCCAUCACAUACUUGGCUUCCUUCCAUUGAAAGAACUUAUCAGAACAAGUGUCUUGUUGAGUAGGGGAGGUCCUUAUGAACCUCCCUUCCCAAUCUCGUGUUCAAUGAGUUGAGGUUACCGAUAGAAGGCGUUUUUUGCAAUACGUGGAUUGGGCAUUGUCUUGUCGUGAUUUAUCCCCUGUGAAAUUCAAAAAUGUUCCGUGCAUCAAGACGCAUAUUCCAUAUAUUUUUGGAUAAACUUUGCCAUAAAUCGCAAGGCUAACUCUUAGAGUGAGCUUUGAUUUGUCGAUAAUAUCAGUAUUGCGGUACCUUUAAAACCUUGACAGAAUUCCAUCUGGGAAUAGAGGGCCUUGCUUCCUUCUUCCAUUUGUCUUUCAAAGUUAUGGAUCUUACAUCUUGGACUCACUUUUAUGGAUGAUGGGCCAAUCGGAAGCUUGCUUUCAGUUCCUUGUCUUGAGGAUUUGUGUCUUUGUAAUUGUUGGCAUUUCAAAACCUUACUAUUUCAGCUCUGAAUCUAUUGAGCUUGUUUAUCGAGCAAAGACACCUAAACUUAAGCUCGAGCUCUUUAGCUAUAUUGGUGGGCACUUGUCUGAGUGUGCGAUACGCGAUACUUUUGUGAUAUGUAACGCUCAUUUGAUUUUGGGUGGUUCGGCUGAGGAGAUUUAUGCUUCCUGCGCACAUAAAAGCUUCUAAAGAAUCCGUUUGUUGCGAAACGUCUUUUUCUGCAUUACUAUAUUCUUGAGGUAUAAUAUCAAUCUUAUUUCUUGUAUUUUGGUUGAAGCAUUGCAUUAUGCUUUGUUACAUUCUUGAGGUAUAAUAUCAAUCUUAUUUCUUGUAUUUUGGUUGAAGCAUUGCAUUAUGCUUUGUUAGUCUAAUUAAUGUUUUUUGGAUCUAUUUUCAAGAGAUCAGUUCCUUUCUAGUCUUCUCUUGCCUCAAUAGAUUCCCUAAAACUAAGGAUGCUCAACAAUUGUCCUUGUUUGGUCAGCCUUUUGUCUUUCUUAUUGUUUCCUCUUACUGAAUCUUGUGAUCAAAUAAGGAAGUUAAUCGUUAUGUAAUUGUCAAUUAGGGCUUGGUUGUGGACUCCAAAAACGAUGAAGGAAUACGCUCAAGUUCAUCACGAUUGAAAAAUUUGAUGCCACUGAUGACCAACUCUUAGCUGUGACGAUCAUACUUAGGCUGCCCAAGUUUUGUGGAGGUUUCACAUAAUCUGCUUAGAGCAGAGGUCAGGAUCUUCCGUGAUAGAUCUUUUGGAAAGCAUUCAGCUCCUUCCUAGGAGCUCAAAUCAAUAUUUCAUUUCGCUGUUCCUCUAUAACUUUUAGCACAUUUAGUUAGUUGAUGAGACUCUUGAGAUAGCUAGACUACCGCUUCUUGAGAAGCUAUACAUUGAUAAAAACAAGCUAUUAGUUUUGCCGGUGAGCAGAAAAAUUUGAGAGGUCUUGUUAUCAAGGUAUAACUUCUUAAGAAACAAUAGUCUAGCUAUCUAAAGAGUCUUAUCAACUAACUAAAUGUGCUAAAAGUUAUAGGGGGAUAACGAACUAAACACUUUCCAAAAGAUUUACCACGGAAGCUCCUGCCCUCUAUUCUGAGCAGAUUAUGUGAAGCCUCCGCAAAACUUGGGUAGCUUAAGUAUGAUUGUCACGACUAAGAAUUGGUCUAUCAAAUUCUUAAAUCGUGAGGAACUUGAGCAACGACUGGAAGCACUCGGGCACCGGGUCCAAUAUUCCUUCAUCGUUUUUGGAGUCCACAACUAAGCCCUAAUUGACAAUUACAUAACAAUCAACUUUCACAUUUGAUCACAAGAUUCGGUAAGAGCAAACGGUAAGGACAGAAUAGUUAUCCCACAAAACAAAAGACUGACCAAACAAGGACAGUUGUUGAGCAUCGCAAGGAGUGAUAGGGAAUCUAAUCUCAUCGUGUCAUAAGUGUUGAAUGACAAGAGGUUGAGGUGAGAGAAGACUGGGAAUGAUCUAAUCUCUUGAAAAUGGAUCCAAAGAACACUAAUUAACACUGAUAAAACAUAAUGCAAUGCUUCGACCCAAAAUACAAGAAAUAAGAUUGAUAUUAUACUUCAAGAAUGUAGUAAUGUAGAAAAAGACGUUUCGCAACAGACAGAUCUUUUAAAAGCUUAUGUGUGCGGGAAGCAUAAUCUCCUCAGCCAGACCAUUCAAAACCAAAUAAGCGUCACGUAGCAUAAAAACAUCGUGUAUCGCACACUCACACAGUGCCCACCAAUAUAAGCUAAAGAGAUCGAGCUUAGGUUUAGGUGUCCUUUACUCGAUAAACAAGCUCAAUAGAUUCAGAGCUGAAACAGUUUUCUGAUUGACCCAUUAUCCAUAAGUGAGUCCACUAAGAUGUAAGAUCCGUAACUUUGGAAGACAAAUGGAAGAUGAAAGCAGGGUAAUCUGUUCUUGGAUGGAACUCUGUCAAGGUUUCGCUCCUAAACACGCAUAAAAGUACCGCAAUACUAAUAUUAUUGGAAAAUUAAAGCUGACUCCAAUAGUUUGAACAUUGCAAUUUAUGGCAAAGUUUAUCCAAAGAGUAUAUGAAAGUUGCGUCUUGAUGCACGGAACACUUUAGAGAGAAGGAUUUCAUAGGGGAUAAGUCACAACCAGAUAAUGCUCAAUCUAUGUAUUGCAAGAAACGCCUUCUUUGGGUAACCUUAACUCAUCGAAUACGAAAUUGGGAAGGGAUGCCCACAAGGACCUCCACUUACUCGAUAAGACACUUGUUCUGAUGAGUUCUUUCACCGGAAGGAAGCAAGUCUGUGAUGGAGUAAGGGAUCAGGGAGAUCACACAAUCUUUCACAUCUACCAACACGAAACUCUCCCUUAGAGUUAUCGGGCCCAGCUAUCACAAGAGCUCGUCUUUUAUCCAUGGCUCUAGCUAAUACUCAGGAGUCAAAGCUGACAGAAGGAAACUAAAUAAACAUUAGACAACUAGACUUACAAGCUAACAUGAUUUGUUAAAAAGUUCAAAUCAUGCAAAUUCAAAGCUCCUAUCCCAUAGAGGAUUUCAAUGUGAACAAAUUCUGCGCAUGACAAAUUAAAACAAGGGCUCUUUUGAGCAGGAUCCACGGAUGACGACACAGAAGGAGCUGAACGCUUUUCAAAUGAUCUACCAUAGAAGCUCCUAACCUUUGCUCUGAGCAGAUUAUGUGAAGCCUCCGCAAAACUUGGGCAGCCCUGAGUAUGAUCAUCAUGGCUAAGAGUUGGUCACUGAGUUCAGGUGGCAAAACUAAUAGCUUAUUAACUCUUACAUGUUUUGAAACGUAAAAUUCAUUAUAAAGAAUAUAAGGUGAUCUUUUGGCUCAUUAUUAGUCAUUUUGGUUGUUCAUUGUAAGUAGUAGAAUUGCGACAAUACAUGGAACUCGUAGUGUCGUUAGAGCACAACAAGCUUGUUCAUGGCCUCUUCUUGAUUUCAGGACAGUUUAUUUGCAAAUUCAUGCACCUAACUACUUCAUGCUUUUGUUUCCUUCUCUUGAUAUGAGAACAACUCGUAUUUCUUUGUGUGUGACAUUGCAACUUGAAUUAAUCUAAUGUGGCCCUUCAGUUUAAGUGCAGGGCUAUGGCUGAACUAUGAGUUCUUAGACUAUUUGGGAAUCCUCGAGUUCCUUCCUGAAAUUUUACCACUAAACAGUCUUCACCAUUUGUCUUUGGCAAAGUGGCAUAUGAAAACCUAAGAUCAGUGAAUUGUAUGCUCUUGAUGUACACAAUUAUCUUUGUGAUGUGAGAAGAAAUAGAUAUGUCCCAUCCGAUUGGAGGGUGGAUGUCCUUUAAUCGGAGAUUGGAGAAGGAACAUCAGGUAAAUUUGGUGUAUUAUACUGCAUCAUGGAAUCCAUGGCAGUUUCCAUAUAAUCUAGGGUUAUAGAUGCAGAUCUUUGCUCUAUAACGGUUCUAAAUGUAGCCUGUUGAAAUUGCGGGCUUUGCAGCCUAGUUCGGAAUAUGUGAAGGAUAUCGUUCCGGCACAUAAAUAAAGGGAGGGAAGAAAGGGCCGGCCUCUAUAUGCGAGUAGAAUUUUUCAGUUCUACUUGCAAACUAUUCUUUAUGUGAAUAUAUGAACAUUUUUUCUUGAUGGAUAGCGAGGCCCUACGUGGAAAGGGGACAGUCGACAGAAUCCGAUUGUGGUGGCUGCCGACGAGACUAAAAAGCCUUCGAAAAGUCUGGAAGCUUGUGAAGAAGGGGUACUGCCAGUUUAAAUGACGUUUUCAUAGGCAGGUACCGAACUUCAUGGAAGAUCCCAAUUUGUCACGAUGUCGAUGCAUGGCCGAUUUCUUUCGUGAUUUGAGAGCAGAAGGACGAAGUGUGCAUGUGCUUUUCGGAUUUCACUGCUUUGGUGUCCCUAGAGCUUAUUGGUAUGGUAUGGAAUACUUUCAGGGCGGGCAAUUUUGCGUCAUCAAUGAGGAGACAACCAUAGUUGGAGGAGCAAUGAGCUUGAGCAUGUUAUUUCGGCUGAAAUUAAAAAGGAAAAAAAAAUGCUUAGAAGUGAAGGAGCUGAUGUGAUCAUAAGAUUGAGAUAAUGUGGAAAAGUUAUUGUAAGGGAAAAUGACACAGAUGAUCUUUAAUCUUUGAUUUAAUAGGCGACGUGGUUUCUAAACUUUUAAUUUGCUCGAUGUAGUAUCUGAACUUUGGUCCAAUGUGCAAUGUCAUCCCUAAAUAUUAAAUUUCUUUAAUGUGACUCCUGAACUAUUAGUAAAAGAUCAAUUUAGUCUUUCAACUAUAUGAAGAUAUCUAUUAUUGUUCUUUCGGUAAUUUAAGUUAAUGGAAUCUCUGUGUGGCUUCCAAUAUGUUAUAUUUGAACGGUGGAUCUUAAAAAGGGUUUUGCAUGGAUUUUCCACCUAUAUCGUUUGUCUCAAAUCAAGGAAAGAAAUUGUCAUGUGUAAUAUUUGAAGUUCGUCAUUUACUUAUUUUCUUUUCUAAAGUAAAUGGAUUAAAUGAUAGACAUGCCGACUUAUCAUUCUUAUCAUUCUUAAGCAUGUCAUUUGAGCCAAUAGAAAAACCACAUUGAAAAUUUAUUACUAGUUCGGAACUCACAUUUCACAUAUAAAAAAUUCAGAGACAAAAUUACAUAUCAUAUCAAAAUUCAUGGAUUGUUUAUGUUUGUUUAUGUUGUCACCUCUUAUCGAGACGGGCAGUCUCUUCCCAUUCUUCAUUUCAGCACAGAAAGCAUGGGUAAAAUGAUCUAUGUCGCAAGCUUGAUGGUGUUUAAUUACACAUUAGUGGUCCACUCGUUGCAUGAGAAUACAUGCGUUUUUUUGUGAGAGAGAGAGAGAGAGAGAGAGAGAGAGAGAGAGAUGUAAAAGAAGGAAGCACGCAUCAGGAAUUUUCUGGAUUAUAAAGCAUGAAUGGUGCUUAUGAAAGUGAAAAAUUCAAGACGAACCCUGCUGAAAAGUAACUGUCCGAAGGCACAUUUGCAGCCGAAAGAUUGGUGAAAGCUGUACCGCCUGGAAGUCUGUAAACUUUACAAUGUUUUGCAGUUCGCUGGUAAACAAUGGGUGAUUUCUCAUGUCAAGAGCAUCAAUUAUGAAAUGCCCCACGCUGUGUACUUUGAAAAAAGAGCACCCGACAAAAACUUUUUGUUAUAAUCACCAGAAGAAGAGGACAUCCACUGACCAAAGCAAUCUUCAUUCACAAGCAUCCUCCUCUAAUUGCAUAUAUGAAGCGAGAGGUGAUCGAAUUACUAGGACAAGAUGCAUUUACAGUACAGACUGAGAAGAGCAUACUGCAUCUUUAGCAAUUAAAUAACAUAAGCCAUAAACAAAGAACGGGCAUUGCAUUGGCACCUUUGGUAGUAGCAAAGCAGUCAGUGAUUUACCCCAGCAGUACUCAUAAUGCACUUUGUUCUGGCAAAUGUGGUCGAAAAAUAUCCACUAAAAAAGAUUUGACAAUCCCUCAUAAACAUGCUACGAUUUGGCCACGAACUAGUUAAGGCACGCAUCAAGACAAAAGCCUUAGGUAACAUCGGUUAUCCUUCAAGACAAGGUGACUUUGAUUGAAUGGAGGGACGAAUUCAAAAGGUUUGGAGUAUAACAAUCACAAGUUGAUUGACACAAAUAGCAAAUAGCAAUAUCAUCAUUUAGAUUGAUGCAACAUAUGGCAUAUUAUUCCAUUGGAAGAACUUACCAUGGAAAUCCCCAGCUACCCUAACCCAACAGUGAAUAACCAACCGGAGAGAGUAGCACUAUAAGACUCACGGUAGGUGGCUCAAAGGGAGGCUGCUACUUGAACCUGCACCAAGAGAGAGGUGUAAGAUAUCUUCACCAAAGUCGGUUCACCUUAUAUGGCUUCUAGUCUGUAAAUUGAGAGCAACCGGAACCUAAUGAAUAAUAAGAGGACGUUCGAUAGAAUUCCAAAGUCCUCGUUACUUAAGGCAGCCUUUUCAUUCCAGAAUUGCCAAAGUUGAUUGAUUUUGAAAAAAGUAAAACUUGCCUUCCAUGAUACCAAUGUUUGCUCAUUUUAGAUCAAGCUGCGCUCUUAUUGAAACCAAAUGAAAACAACAAACUAUCUUAUCUUCAUUACUGAGGUAAGCCAGCUUCUACUUCAUCCCACAAAUCUAUAUUUCUAGAAAACCUCUCAUUCACCUGCGUAAUAAGCUCCCUAGCCUCAUCGACCUUGUUGAUACUCACCAACCCAUUGACUAGUGACUUCAUAUUUUCGAAAUUCGGAACCCAACCUUUUUCCACGCUCUCCUUACAAAUCUGCAAAGCGGUAUCGAAAUCCCCUCCGUUGCAAAGAUAGUGAAUGAAGGUGAAAUAACAAUCACUGUUGGGCCGGCAAUCGUGGUUCACCAUGCUCUUAAACAUCUUCUUCGCUUCGUCGUUCCUUUCUUCAUUGCAAAACCCAUGAGUUAAAUGGGCAUACGUCUCCAUAUUCGGCUUCAUCCCCCUCGUCAACAUCCCGUCGAGCAACACCUUCGCCCCAUCCGACUUCCUUAGCUUACACAAGCUCUAAAUCCUGAUAUUAUAAAUACUAACCACCCGAGAGACCCCGUACUUCUGCAUCAAUUCCGAAACAUUCCCGACGUCUUCAUACUUCUCUUCCUAAUAAAGCCCAGCCAACAUGUUCUCAAACUUGUUGAGUUGGGCUUAAACCCCUUCCUAUCCAUCUCAGCUAGCGUCAAGUACACCGAACUCGUCGACCCGGACUCUGAGAAUGCCUUAAUCACAGUAUUGAAAGUCUCCAAAUUAGGCGCUACGAUAUAAAUCCUAAGGAAAUCCAUGAAAAACCUCUUCCUCUCCUUAUAGGGUGCCUUUAGUUGAGCAUUCGCAUGGGGGCUUUCAACCUCUAAAGCUCAUUGGGGAAAUACUGGACUGUUUGGUAGCCAUUUUGAAGUAUCUUUCAAAUGAAAACCAACAUUAGGAAAGCUGAAGGCCUAAUGCUAGUAGGGAUUGGUUUUGAAUUUUCCGUAUUUGGCCAAAUGCUGAAACNNNNNNNNNNNNNNNNNNNNNNNNNNNNNNNNNNNNNNNNNNNNNNNNNNNNNNNNNNNNNNNNNNNNNNNNNNNNNNNNNNNNNNNNNNNNNNNNNNNNAAUGCCAAAUAAUGCUAAUAAAAUCAAAUAUAUAUAAAUGCUAAAAAAAUUAAAUAUAUUUUGGUCUUUUUAAAAAAAUUAUAUAUUUGAUUUUUUUAGCAUUAUUGUCAAAAUAUAUAUUUAAAAAGUUGCAUACAUUAUUUUUUUCAUUUUUAAAAAAAUAAAAAUUAAAAAAUAUCGACGAAGGGUUUGGUUUUUUUAAUAUAUAUAUAUAUAUAUAUAUAUAUAUAUAUAUAUAUAUAUAUAUAUAUAUAUAUAUAUAUCUAUAUAUAUAUAUAUAUUUUAUUUUUUAUAUAUCUCAUAUUCUGUUUUUUUAUAUUUUUAAAACAAUUUAAAAAAUUUCGACAAAGGAUUUGGUCUUUUUUUUUUAAAAGAUAUAUGUAUUUGAUUUUUUUUAGUAUUAUUAUAAGAAUUUAUAUUUAAAAUUUUUCAUACAUUAUUUGUUUAAUUUUAAACAAUUAAAAAUUUAAAAAUUAUGAUGAAGGGUUUGGUCUUUUAAAAUAUAUAUAUAUAUGUAUGUAUUUGAUUUUUUAACAUUAUUGUGAAAAUUUAUAUUUAAAAAGUUGCAUACAUAUUUUUUUUUUUCAAUUUUAAGCAAACAAAAAUUAAAAAAUUCCGAUGAAGGGUUUGGUCCUUUUUAAUAUAUAUAUAUGUUUUCAAAUUUUUUAGUAUUAUUGUUAAAAUUUAUAUUUAAAAAGUUUCAUACAUUAUUUUUUUUUCAAUUUUAAACAAUUUAAAAUUUAAAAUUUCUAAUGAAGGGUUUAGUAUUUUUUUUAUUACAAAAAUUAUAUAUAUAUAUAUAUAUGUAUUUGAAUUUUUAGCAUUAUUUUCAAAUUUAUAAUUAAAAAGUUGCAUACAUUAUUUUUUUCAAUUUUAAACAAAUAAAAAUUAAAAAAAUUUCAGGGAAUGAUUUGGUCUUUUUUUAAAAUUAUAUGUAUGUUCAAAAUUUAUAUUUAAAAAGUUGCAUACAUUAUUUUUUCAAUUUUAAAUAAAUAAAAUUAAAAAAACUAAUAUUAAUCACUCCAAGAGUUUUUCAAAUGUGUUUUCUACCAAACAAUAUUUUUCUCAAAGUUACUUUUCAAAGCAUAGUUUACCAAUCAGCCUUUGCAUUUGCCUAAAGUCCUUUAGGUUAAAUUGCUUUGCAUUUUUCCAACGGGUUUUCAAAAUGCUGAAUCAAACGCACCCAAGUCCUCAACAAUUGAUGGUGUCUUUCCCCAACAAAGUGGAAUAAGAGCUAGCAUUGAUGGAGGAAACCAUUGGCACCAUGCUUAAGUUAAAUGCCUAAGCUUAUUUUAUUUGGACAUCUCAGAUUAAAGACAUUGUCUUGUCAAAAUUUAUAUGAUCACAUCACCGGGGAUAAAGGUGAAGAGAACAAAGAAGAUAAAGAAUGGGAGCGGAUCAAUUUAUAUGAUCACAUCAUAAUUUUUUAUAUCAUGCUCCUCAAGAAACAAAUGUUAACACAUUGCGAAAGAAAUUGUAAGAUGUGUGUAAGAGGGGUUCUCACAAAAUAAAGCAUUUUUAAUUAAGAGAUUUGUAAAUUUGAGAUACAAUGAAUAGAGUAGCAUGUCUGAGCAAUCGACUCAACUUUAUGAUGUUGUAAAUUAGUUGAAAAUCUAAAAAUUGAUCUUGGUGAUGAGUCGUUGACACAGCAUUUUAAAAUUAAUUUUUUUCUCCUACGAAGCUUAUUUAUUUAUUUAUUAUUUUCUUCUUCAAAAUCUUAUUUAAAUUAUAUUAAAAAACUAAAAAGCUAAAAUUUUAAUUUUAAAAAUUGAAAAAAAUAAUGGCAGGGUGCAAGAGGCACCAUCGCUAGCCUUAGGGUAGGGCCCAUGUCGCCUAAAAUUGGGCGCCCUCACCCUUGUUAGGCUUGGGCACCCUCUCCCAGACUGGCAAGGGUCGGCCACCCUUGCCCAUGGUCGACGAUCUUUGUUGGCCCCUUUGGCAAUGGGUGGUAGUGCCCCACUAGCGAGCCCUACUCUUUUCCUUUUUUUGAUUUUUUUUAAAUAUAAAAUUUUAGCAUUUUUAUUUUUAAUCUAAUCUAAAUAAGAGUUGAAGAAGAAAUAACAAAAAAAUCCAUUUGAGAGAGAGACAUUAAUUUAAAGAUGCUAUAUAUGCAUUUUUUGUUGGAUGUCAACGAAGAAUUUGAUUAUACUAAUUUAAUAAGUUUUCGUAUUUGAUUACACUUUUUGAAAUUUUUAGGACUUAAUUGUACUUUCAUGACAAGUUUAUGACUUAUAGUGCACUUUAGCGAAAAUUUUUAUGUGAAUUAAAUUUAAUAGCCAUUGGAAUGGAAUAUAUGGAACUAAAUUGAGUCAAAUUGAUCUAACAAAAUUGUCGGGAAAUGAACUGAUUGAAUGCUUAUAUUCUUGUGAUUUAUAUCAUGCAUAACGUUACUAAAGCCAUGACCUUUCUUGCUUCUUGUUCGAUGCCUCUGUUAUGGGAGACUUGUUGCGACCCUCUGAAUAACCUUUUGCAUCUGCCUAGUUGGUUUAUCCAUAAACAAGUGGUAGGUUAGGGCUGAGGCUCAUGGAUUUCUUAUGUAAAGCACUCUUGACCGAAGACACAAAUGACUGAACCAUUAAGUAUGUCUUUGAGGCAACAUUAAUAUCGGAAAGAUAUUGGGUCCUUUCCUACAUCGAACAUCCCCUUUGUUUCGCGCCUUUUCUCUGAGGCUAUUGAAUUGCAUUUGGUUCUUUAGGUCAUGCAUCUUUCAUUACAAUGUUUGAACCUUGAUCGAUCUUUUCUUAGCAAUCGGCAUGGAUAAUUUAUUCUUUCAUAACGGCAUUCGACAUUCCUAUGCAUUUCAGUGGAAGGUGGUUGUUUUCUAGUUUUCUUCUUUAUACUUUCCCCUUAGUGAGAUCAAAUUAUUUAGGCGAUUG